UACCAGACUCCUACGGGAGGCAGCAGUGGGGAAUAUUGGGCAAUGGGCGCAAGCCUGACCCAGCGACGCCGCGUGAGGGAAGACGGUCUUCGGAUUGUAAACCUCUUUCAGCAGGGAAGACAAAAGGACGGUACCUGCAGAAGAAGCCGCGGCUAACUACGUGCCAGCAGCCGCGGUAAUACGUAGGUGGCAAGCGUUAUCCGGAAUUACUGGGUGUAAAGGGUGUGUAGGCGGGGCUGCAAGUCAGAUGUGAAAAUUAUGGGCUCAACCCAUAACCUGCGUCUGAAACUGUAGCUCUUGAGAGUGGGAGAGGUAAACGGAAUUCCCGGUGUAGCGGUGAAAUGCGUAGAUAUCUGGAGGAACAUCAGUGGCGAAGGCGACUAUCUGGCACAUAACUGACGCUGAGGAGCGAAAGCGUGGGUAGCAAGCAGGAUUAGAUACCCUUGUAA
Molecule: ribosomal RNA, 449 nt
Filed under: uncultured bacterium
Lineage: Bacteria
Description: partial 16S ribosomal RNA
Rfam family: Bacterial small subunit ribosomal RNA
Source: RNAcentral